AGCCUAUGUCCUAUCAGCUUGUUGGUGAGGUAAUGGCUCACCAAGGCUAUGACGGGUAUCCGGCCUGAGAGGGUGAUCGGACACACUGGAACUGAGACACGGUCCAGACUCCUACGGGAGGCAGCAGUAGGGAAUAUUGCUCAAUGGGCGAAAGCCUGAAGCAGCAACGCCGCGUGGAGGAUGAAGGUCUUCGGAUUGUAAACUCCUUUUCUAAGAGAAGAUUAUGACGGUAUCUUAGGAAUAAGCACCGGCUAACUCCGUGCCAGCAGCCGCGGUAAUACGGAGGGUGCAAGCGUUACUCGGAAUCACUGGGCGUAAAGAGCACGUAGGCGGCCUUGCAAGUCAGAUGUGAAAUCCAACGGCUUAACCGUUGAACUGCAUUUGAAACUGCAAGGCUAGAGUAUGGGAGAGGUAGGUGGAAUUCUCGGUGUAGGGGUAAAAUCCGUAGAGAUCGAGAGGAAUACUCAUUGCGAAGGCGACCUGCUGGAACAUUACU
RNAcentral lists this ribosomal RNA (496 nucleotides) under Wolinella succinogenes. Its description in RNAcentral is "bacterial SSU rRNA". It matches the Rfam family "Bacterial small subunit ribosomal RNA", at positions 228 to 741 of the family's 1533-position model. The record is from RNAcentral. Lineage: Bacteria; Pseudomonadati; Campylobacterota; Epsilonproteobacteria; Campylobacterales; Helicobacteraceae.